UGAAUUAUUAAUUAAGUUUUACUGUUAGUUGAACUUUUGACAUUGAUUAAAAAUACAAUAAAACAUUGUUAAAAAUCAAAACUGACAAAUUAUGUAGAUUUGGGAUUGUCCAAUUACUAAUCUAGUCAUUUUUAUGAAAUUAAUUGUGAGAGGUUGUCCGCAUUACUGUGAUUGGAUUAUUGAAUAAUUAUAAGUAACAGGAAAGUAUGUUAGGAAAUUCUAGUUUUAUUGCUUGCUUUAGUGGAUAUAUAUCGGAUGUAUUUUAAAAACGUGAAUAACUCGGAAACUGGAAAUCGGAACGAAAUACGGUUUGCACUAAUGGAUUUUACUCAAUUUUCUCUAAUAGAUUGACUAAUAAAAUAUAAUUUAAUA
Molecule: long non-coding RNA, 372 nt
Organism: Aethina tumida (small hive beetle)
Lineage: Eukaryota; Metazoa; Arthropoda; Insecta; Coleoptera; Nitidulidae
Exons: 2
Source: RefSeq, a predicted model, not a curated record